CCUACGGGUGGCAGCAGUGAGGAAUAUUGGUCAAUGGACGAGAGUCUGAACCAGCCAAGUCGCGUGAAGGAUGACUGCCCUAUGGGUUGUAAACUUCUUUUGUAUGGGAAUAAACUUUUCCACGUGUGUUAUUUUGUAUGUACCAUAUGAAUAAGGAUCGGCUAACUCCGUGCCAGCAGCCGCGGUAAUACGGAGGAUCCGAGCGUUAUCCGGAUUUAUUGGGUUUAAAGGGAGCGUAGGUGGAUUGUUAAGUCAGUGGUGAAAGUUUGGGGCUUAACCGUAAAAUUGCCUUUGAAACUGGCAGUCUAGAGUGUAGUAGAGGUGGGCGGAAUUCGUGGUGUAGCGGUGAAAUGCUUAGAGAUCACGAAGAACUCCGAUUGCGAAGGCAGCUCACUGGACUGCAACUGACACUGAGGCUCGAAAGUGUGGGUAUCAAACAGGAUUAGAUACCCGGGUAGUC
RNAcentral lists this ribosomal RNA (460 nucleotides) under uncultured bacterium. RNAcentral describes it as "partial 16S ribosomal RNA". It matches the Rfam family "Bacterial small subunit ribosomal RNA", at positions 338 to 795 of the family's 1533-position model. The record is from RNAcentral.